UCGGGAAUUUUGCGCAAUGGAGGAAACUCUGACGCAGUGACGCCGCGUAUAGGAAGAAGGUUUUCGGAUUGUAAACUAUUGUCGAUGAGGAAGAUAAAAGACUGUACUCAUCAAGAAAGCUCCGGCUAACUACGUGCCAGCAGCCGCGGUAAUACGUAGGGAGCAAGCGUUAUCCGGAAUUAUUGGGUGUAAAGGGUGCGUAGACGGGAAAGCAAGUCAGCUGUGAAAUCCCUCGGCUUAACUGAGGAACUGCAGCUGAAACUACAUUUCUUGAGUGCAGGAGAGGAAAGUGGAAUUCCUAGUGUAGCGGUGAAAUGCGUAGAUAUUAGGAGGAACACCAGUGGCGAAGGCGACUUUCUGGACUGUAACUGACGUUGAGGCACGAAAGUGUGGGGAGCAAACAGG
Molecule: ribosomal RNA, 405 nt
Filed under: uncultured bacterium
Lineage: Bacteria
Description: bacterial SSU rRNA
Rfam family: Bacterial small subunit ribosomal RNA
Source: RNAcentral